ACGUACCACCCGAACGUUAUUCGGAUUUACUGGGCUUAAAGAGUCAGUAGGCGGCCAGGUAAGUUGGAUGUGGAAUACCUCGGCCUAACCGAGGAACAGCAUUCAAAACUACUUGGCUUGAGAGAGACAGAGGUGAGCGGAACUGAUGGUGGAGCGGUGAAAUGCGUUGAUAUCAUCAGGAACACCGGUGGCGAAAGCGGCUCACUGGGUCUCUUCUGACGCCAAGGGACGAAAGCUAGGGGAGCGAACGGGAUUAGAUACCCCGGUAGUCCUAGCCUUAAACGAUGAGCACUAGAUCGUAGGGACCUCCACAUCCUUUCGGUCGUAGGGAAACUGUUAAGUGCUCCGCCUGGGGAGUAUGGUCGCAAGGCUG
RNAcentral lists this ribosomal RNA (373 nucleotides) under uncultured bacterium. RNAcentral describes it as "bacterial SSU rRNA". It matches the Rfam family "Bacterial small subunit ribosomal RNA", at positions 525 to 896 of the family's 1533-position model. The record is from RNAcentral.